GACGAACGCUGGCGGCGUGCUUAACACAUGCAAGUCGAACGGAAAGGCCCUGCUUUUGUGGGGUGCUCGAGUGGCGAACGGGUGAGUAACACGUGAGUAACCUGCCCUUCACUUUUGGAUAACUUCAGGAAACUGGGGCUAAUACCGGAUCGGAUCUCCUGCUGCAUGGUUGGGGUUGGAAAGUUUCGGCGGUUGGGGAUGGACUCGCGGCUUAUCAGCUUGUUGGUGGGGUAGUGGCUUACCAAGGCUUUGACGGGUAGCCGGCCUGAGAGGGUGACCGGCCACAUUGGGACUGAGAUACGGCCCAGACUCCUACGGGAGGCAGCAGUGGGGAAUAUUGCACAAUGGGCGGAAGCCUGAUGCAGCAACGCCGCGUGCGGGAUGACGGCCUUCGGGUUGUAAACCGCUUUCGCCUGUGACGAAGCGUGAGUGACGGUAAUGGGUAAAGAAGCACCGGCUAACUACGUG
This 468-nucleotide ribosomal RNA is filed under the name uncultured bacterium. RNAcentral's name for it is "partial 16S ribosomal RNA". It matches the Rfam family "Bacterial small subunit ribosomal RNA", at positions 28 to 507 of the family's 1533-position model. The record is from RNAcentral.